Schistosoma margrebowiei is the source of this 45-nucleotide non-coding RNA. NCBI's taxonomy places the organism in Eukaryota, Metazoa, Platyhelminthes, Trematoda, Strigeidida, Schistosomatidae. The record is from Rfam.
AUUCAGCUGACGAGUCCCAAAUAGAACGGGACGUGCGUCCUAGAU